CAAAGUCCCAAACCCUUGUUGCAGGCCAUUCCUCCAUCCCCCUUCUUCUCUUCCAGUUGCCCCCCCACGCCUUCCUUCCUCCUCCCUGUACGCUCCCUCUCAGACCCGGAGCCGGAAGCUGCCAGAUCUCGGUAUCCCGUCGGCCGGACAUCUGCGCCGCGGUAACUGACUUCCGGUGGCCGCCGGAGCCUUUUCUCACCGUACUUCAUCACCGGCGCCUGCUGCUUUGGUUAGUGAGGUAACAUCCACCCAUUUCCCCGUCCCUUUCCUUCUAUCACGUGAACGGCACGUGUCUGUGAGGCGAUUCAGUCCCUUCCUUCCUGAUAUCCAUAGCAUUGCUCUUUUCCUCCCGUUCGGCGGUGGCCUCCAUGCCCGCGUCGCUCGAGAAAAUUAUUUAGUAACAGAUCUGGUCCCCGUAGCCAUUACCUUUCCCUUUUCUGUUACCCAGCGUCGGAUCGGGUUUUUUGCGCCAUUGACGCGGGAAAUGUGGUUUAUUCGGGGUUUUAAUUCCUAGUUCGCGCGCUGGGUACCCGCCAGGCACCGAAAGCAUGAUUCCGGAGAGAGAAGAAUUAGAAGGUUUGGCACUGUUGCUGCUGCUGCUGCUGCUGCUUUAGUAAACAAAUGUAUGGUGGAUGAAUGACGGAGCUCGGAGCGUUCUGAGAUCUGUGCGGUGGGUGAUCCAACGGUGGAUUCGUGCGAAUGAAGGUGAAUCUUUCUUGAAUUAGGAGGUUUCGAGGAGAGAAGACAGAUUGCCCAAAGUCCCCUUCUUUUGUUUGCCUUUCUCCGAAGUAUCCAAACAGGGCAAGGUAGUGAUGAUGAACCUUCGUCUCUUUAGUAUUCUCCUGUGAUUCUUCUAACGGUGGCAGGGCAGCUCGGAAGGUCUGCUGCUCUGCAGACAACCGCUGCAGCCAUUCGAUGAGAGGAGUCCAGGGUUGAUGAAGAAGAGAUGAUGGAUCAAAGGAAGCAAAGGCCCCAGGAACAGGAGCUGGCUAUGAGUCUUCCCCCUUGAUGGAAGGGAGGUGGAGAGUUUCCCGGCCUGCAGAGGGGCAAUUUGGGAAGUUGGGGACAGUAGUUUUGUUUUUGGUGGAGAGAGAGAGAGAGAGAGAGGAGG
Molecule: long non-coding RNA, 1111 nt
Filed under: Phoenix dactylifera (date palm)
Lineage: Eukaryota; Viridiplantae; Streptophyta; Magnoliopsida; Arecales; Arecaceae
Description: long non-coding RNA (PDAC_LNC008107)
Source: RNAcentral